UACGGGGGGGGCAAGCGUUGUUCGGAAUUACUGGGCGUAAAGGGCUCGUAGGCGGCCAACUAAGUCAAACGUGAAAUCCCUCGGCUUAACCGGGGAACUGCGUCUGAUACUGGAUGGCUUGAGAUUGGGAGAGGGAUGCGGAAUUCCAGGUGUAGCGGUGAAAUGCGUAGAUAUCUGGAGGAACACCGGUGGCGAAGGCGGCAUCCUGGACCAACACUGACGCUGAUGAGCGAAAGCCAGGGGAGCAAACGG
This 252-nucleotide ribosomal RNA is filed under the name uncultured bacterium. Its description in RNAcentral is "partial 16S ribosomal RNA". It matches the Rfam family "Bacterial small subunit ribosomal RNA", at positions 524 to 775 of the family's 1533-position model. The record is from RNAcentral.